Molecule: non-coding RNA, 140 nt
Organism: Brachypodium distachyon (stiff brome)
Lineage: Eukaryota; Viridiplantae; Streptophyta; Magnoliopsida; Poales; Poaceae
Source: Rfam
UAAGUACUCCCUCCGUCCAACAAAAGAUGUCUCAAGUUUGUCAAAAUUUGAAUUGGAUGUAUCUAGACAUGACUUAGUGUAUAGAUGCAUUCAACUUUAGUCAAAGUUGGAUAUCCUUUGUUGGACGGAGGAAGUAAUAU